AAGACUAUUCUUUCAGGGGCCAUUUCUAUAGUUUGUUACUACAGAAGUUUCUCUGAAUGUGUAGACCACUGGCAGAGAAAAAAAGAAAAU
This is a small nucleolar RNA of Pongo abelii (Sumatran orangutan), 90 nucleotides long. Its record names the gene U3. It matches the Rfam family "Small nucleolar RNA U3". Rfam says of the family: Small nucleolar RNAs (snoRNAs) are involved in the processing and modification of rRNA in the nucleolus. There are two main classes of snoRNAs: the box C/D class, and the box H/ACA class. The record is from Ensembl. Lineage: Eukaryota; Metazoa; Chordata; Mammalia; Primates; Hominidae.